GAGGCGUUAGUUAACUAAUAACACCCCCUUGUCAAGGGGUAGUAACAGGUUAAACCCCUGUACUCCUCU
This 69-nucleotide transfer RNA is filed under the name Limnodynastes salmini (salmon-striped frog). RNAcentral describes it as "tRNA-Asp". It matches the Rfam family "tRNA". Rfam says of the family: Transfer RNA (tRNA) molecules are approximately 80 nucleotides in length. Their secondary structure includes four short double-helical elements and three loops (D, anti-codon, and T loops). The record is from RNAcentral. Lineage: Eukaryota; Metazoa; Chordata; Amphibia; Anura; Limnodynastidae.